UACGUAGGUGGCAAGCGUUGUCCGGAAUUACUGGGUGUAAAGCGCGUGUAGGCGGCAGACCAAGUCGGCGGUGAAAGCGCCCGGCUCAACUGGGCGAGGUCCGUGGAAACUGGUCAGCUGGAGGACGGUAGAGGCGAGUGGAAUUCCCGGUGUAGCAGUGAAAUGCGUAGAGAUCGGGAGGAACAUCUGUGGCGAAGGCGGCCACCUGGACCUACACUGACACUGAGGCACGAAAGCGUGGGGAGCAAACAGG
Molecule: ribosomal RNA, 253 nt
Filed under: uncultured bacterium
Lineage: Bacteria
Description: partial 16S ribosomal RNA
Rfam family: Bacterial small subunit ribosomal RNA
Source: RNAcentral